Molecule: ribosomal RNA, 577 nt
Filed under: uncultured bacterium
Lineage: Bacteria
Description: bacterial SSU rRNA
Rfam family: Bacterial small subunit ribosomal RNA
Source: RNAcentral
CCUCGGGAGGCAGCAGUGAGGAAUAUUGCGCAAUGGAGGAAACUCUGACGCAGCCACGCCGCGUGGUGGAUGACACCCCUAUGGGGCGUAAACACCUUUUAUGAGAGAAGAAGUCCCUAUUCGAUAGGGUUUGACGGUACCUCAUGAAUAAGCACCGGCUAACUCCGUGCCAGCAGCCGUGGUAAUACGGAGGGUGCAAGCGUUGUCCGGAAUCACUGGGUGUAAAGGGUGUGUAGGCGGAGCUGUAAGUCAGAGGUGAAAUCCUGCGGCUUAACCGUAGAACUGCCUUUGAUACUGCAGCCCUUGAGUAUCGGAGAGGUUGCUGGAAUUCGUGGUGUAGCGGUGAAAUGCGUAGAUAUCACGAGGAACACCAGAGGCGUAGGCGGGCAACUGGACGAUUACUGACGCUGAGGCACGAAAGCGUGGGGAGCAAACAGGAUUAGAUACCCUGGUAGUCCACGCCGUAAACGAUGGAUGCUCGGUGUCGCCCUCUUAGAGGGGCGGUGCCUAAGCUAACGCGUUAAGCAUCCCACCUGGGGAGUACGCUCGCAAGAGUGAAACUCAAAUGAAUUGACGG